UUGACCCUCCACUUGUGUUUGUUGAAAUUGUACUUGAACUGGAGCAACGAACCAAGUUUACUUCUUGUGUCGGAUACCAAACUCUGCAGCUCUGGAAUUUCAAAGAAAGAAAUAAAGAUCAUGGCGAAGAUUGGAGUACUACCAAUAGUGGGGAUGGUCUUAGCCGAGUGUGCUCAAGCUGGGUUAAUGAUAGUAAGCAAAGCAGCCAUGUCUACUGGCAUGAACAACCUCAUCUUUGUCUGCUACUCCAACGCUCUUGCCGCCUUUGUUCUUCUCCCAACUUCUCUGUUCUUUCACAGAUCAACAGACCGUCCUCCGAUCACUUUCUCUAUUCUCUGUUGGUUUUUCUUGCUUGGUUUACUUGGGUGUAUAGCUCAGUUGGUUGGGUAUGCUGGGAUUAAUUACAGCUCUCCUACUCUUGGCACGGCUAUGCUCAACCUUGUUCCAGCUUUCACUUUCGUACUUGCAAUUAUAUUCAGAAUGGAAAAAAUUGAUGGGAGAAGCUGCAGUACCCUAGCCAAAAUCUUGGGAACAGUAGUUUCAAUAUCAGGGGCUUUCAUUGUGACUCUUUACAAGGGACCCCCACUUUUUAUGACAGCCUCAGUUGAUAUGUUGUCUUACAGUCAACUUUUCUUGCCACAGUCGAAUUGGGUCAUUGGAGGAAUGCUCCUUGGGUUUCAUUGUGUGGUGGCUGCAGCAUGGCUUAUCAUACAGGCAUCAGUACUAAAAAAAUACCCAGCAGGGCUCAUUAUAGUCUUUUACUAUUGCUUCUUUGUGGCUAUUCAAUCUGUAGUGGCGUUGUGGUUUGCGGAAAGAGACUUAAGUGCUUGGGCCUUAAACCCUAAGUUAAGGUUGUUCGCUGUUCUAUACUCGGGAGUUUUUGGCUCAGCGUUCCAGGUUGGUGUAUGUACAUGGUGUCUUGGUAGGACUGGGCCAGUUUUCGUAUCUAUGUUCAAGCCUUUGGGGAUUGUAGUUGCAGUUGCCAUAGGUGUUAUUUUCUUGGGGGAUACUUUCUACCUUGGAAGUUUGAUAGGAGCAAUUGUAAUUGUCACUGGAUUUUACUCUGUCAUAUGGGGCAAAGCCAAUGAGGUGAAGAUGGAUGAUGAUGCAAGGGCGAGGAGUUUAUCAUCAAAGAAACAGCGGGUUCCAUUACUGCAAAACAUUAUUGAAGACAUUUAAAAAAUUUCACAGCAUAUAAACCAUAAGGUUUCUCCUGCCAAACAAAUGGGUACUCUCUCUCCUCCUCUCUCCUCUGUUGCUUUUAGUCUUGGUUUCAAUUUAAAUGCUACCCUUUCCACCAUUGUGAAAGAUUUGUACAGGUUAUUCUUAAAGUUCAUAGUUCAGGCCAUUGAUGAGAAUAAUAAAUGGAUUCUCAUCAAUGGCAGUGAUGCAGGGAAAUUGGGCCUAACAGUUUUUUAUGGGUUAACUCAGCAUACGAGUCAUGUAUAGGGGUACAUGGAUAUUUAUGAACAUGGGGAGCAUAAUCAAGAUCAAAGAUAUCAGCAUGAGUUUCCGGGGUCAAACAUCGAAGCUGUCAUGAGAGCAACAGUUAUGUGAAAAGCUACUCUGGUUUGGAAGUGAAACCUACUCUUGCUCUUCGGGUUCAGAAUCCAGAUGCAUGAUCUCCUUCUUCAUUAGUUUUAUUCAUAAGGAAAUUAGUACUUCAGUACACUGAUAAGGCUUCAAAGUUGAAAAAGAUGAGGGACAUGUUCUUGAAGAACAUAUUAUUCCUGUGAAUUGUAAAAUAUAUGUUGACUUCUGCAGUUGAAUCAAUUGUAAUAUGUCAUUGUUUUGCUUUUGAGAUUGAGAUUGUCAUUAAAUCAAAUAUCAGAGGAGGUCAAUCUGUGCAAUGGACCUGCAGACUUAUAUUCUGGAAUUCUCAGAAAUACAUCAAAAUUCAGCUUAAAAUUA
This is an RNA transcript of Argentina anserina (silverweed cinquefoil), 1911 nucleotides long. It is a transcript of the gene named WAT1-related protein At3g28050-like, with no coding region annotated. The transcript is spliced from 8 exons. Lineage: Eukaryota; Viridiplantae; Streptophyta; Magnoliopsida; Rosales; Rosaceae. The record is from RefSeq and is a predicted model, not a curated record.